UCUAUCCGCGAACACUUCUCUCCGCCCAGCCCCAGACCUCCUCAGUCCUCACUCCUCAGACACAACCCCUCGUCCUUCAAUCUCCUCCACCAUCCGCCGGACAGCAGCAGCCGCGGAGGCCCUAUCCCCUUUCCCUCCACCCUCCUCAACUCUCUGUCAGCCCUAUCCUCUCCCGCUCCCUUCGUCAUAGUCGCGCUCCCUCUCCGUCGCCCUCCACGCAGCAGCAGCCUCUGUGUCGUCCUCCACGCAGCAGUAUCCCGUGUCGUCCUCCGUGCAUCGCAGCGCACUCCAGCUGGCAGCCACUUCCGUGUCUUCGUCCUCUCCUUCCUGCACUCUGCCACAUCAUCAACAUCAUCAAGAAUGGAGCCUUUGACUCAGUUUGAUAACAGUACAAGUGACAACAUUGGUGAAACAGGAAGACCGAAAAACCAAAUCAAAUCAAUCCAAUUACAAUUGGUUUAGUUUGGUUUGGUUAGCCUUAAAUAAAAAACCAACCGAAUAUUUGUUCAAUGUAUUGGAUGGCCUUUCCUCUAACAACCGAACUAUACUGCACUGUGAACACCGGAACAAAUUUGAUUAAAAAAAUCGUUCGGGGACGAAAAUGAAGAUCGCGUAAUCUUUCGAGGACGAAUUUGAAGUGGUGCAAGUAUCACAUGGGACAUAGUGGUAGGAGGUUGGGACUUGGAAUACAGUGCUGAGUUUGUCCCAAAUGAAGAAGGCAGCUACACCAUAGCAGUUGAGAGGGCAAGGAAAGUUGAAGCCUCAGAAGAAGCCAUCCACAACACUUUCACUUCAAAGGAAUCAGGCAAAUUGGUGCUCUCUGUUGAUAAAAGUGCCUCUAGGAAGAAAAAAGUUGCUGCUUACCGCUAUUUUGUGCAGUUAAAUAAUUAAGCAGCAAAUAAUAAUUAUGUUAAGCUUGUGAUGUUUGCUUCUCUCUUUUUUAAAACAAUAAUUUUUGUUAAUUAUGGUUUGAGCUUGUUAAAGGCUAAUGAAGUUACUAAGCAGUGUAUUGGUGUUAUGUAUAAAAUUUGGAAAAUGGGUGGUAGGACAUGUUCAAUUGGGAAUUGGUAUAGAAGAAAAAGCAAUUAGCUUUGCUUGGUAUUGAAUGCGUUCAUUUCAUCAUGAUAAUGAGUUUGUUGAUUAUACGCAGUAUUGUAGUGUAUUUGUUCUUACAUCUCUCUGUUUCGGAGAAGUAUCUGAACAAUUUGGAAAGAAUUAUUGUUUCGG
Long non-coding RNA from Arachis ipaensis, 1227 nucleotides. RefSeq lists it as uncharacterized. The record is from RefSeq and is a predicted model, not a curated record. NCBI's taxonomy places the organism in Eukaryota, Viridiplantae, Streptophyta, Magnoliopsida, Fabales, Fabaceae.